AUUGCUUCCUGCCUUUUGGCUAAGAUUAAGUGUAGUAUCUGUUCUUAGUUUAAUAGUAGGGGACUAUAACACUCCCCGGACAUCAAUGGAUAGAUCAUCC
Molecule: small nuclear RNA, 100 nt
Gene: U2
Rfam family: U2 spliceosomal RNA
About the family: U2 is a small nuclear RNA (snRNA) component of the spliceosome (involved in pre-mRNA splicing). Complementary binding between U2 snRNA (in an area lying towards the 5' end but 3' to hairpin I) and the branchpoint sequence (BPS) of the intron results the bulging out of an unpaired adenosine, on the BPS, which initiates a nucleophilic attack at the intronic 5' splice site, thus starting the first of two transesterification reactions that mediate splicing.
Source: Ensembl